AUACUGUCCAUAUUAUAGAAUACGAGGCUAUCAAUUGGAUGCAUCAUGGCUUGUGCUCGCAUGAGAGUCAAGAAGAGCGUCAUUCGAGAAUGUUGUUGGGUCGUUCCCAUCAUCAUUAAGGCCUACAUGGUGCUUCAUCAUAUGCAAAAAUUCGUGAUAAAAAAGAGCACAUCGAACUACCUUUGGACAAGAUUAUAAUCAUUUAGAUAGUCUUUGGAUAUCUGUAAAUAAGAAAUGCAUUUAAAUAAGAUUAUAUUUGGGUGUAGUUGUUGCAUUUACAACUAUAAUUUCAAUGCUUGAUGUAGUGGUUUUGUAGUUGCAGGAAAAUAACAUGACAUAUUUGUUUGCCUGUAUUUGAUAACUCUAGAUGUACUUGGUUGUAUUACAAAACUGGUAUGAAUUGUCUGCACCGGCCAAUAACCUUGCUAGGAUUUAAACCCAUCAUAAAGAUGCUUCCAAAGAUUUUUCUAGUUGCAGCAGUUUGCCUUACGAUCAAUUUGGCUAUAAAACAAAAUUCUGCACAUGGACCUCCAAACGUAGUUUGACUCACAGGAAUUUCAUCAACUUACAGCAAUCCAAACACUAAAAAGAAACUACUUCUUAUAGUCCAGAUUCAUCUAAACCUAGUUGCAAAUAUCCAAACACACCUUAAAUUAAGUUGAUGGCCGAAGGAGGCUUAAACUUGUAGUUGAUACUUUCAUGAAUGUUUGCCCAGUUUAUUGUAUACUUUGUUUAUAAAGUCAGUCUCAGGUGUUUGGCUAGUAUAGCAGAUAAUCCAAGACUUAAAUGCUAUAAUUGUUUAUCAUUUUUAGUAAACAAAUGUCCUAUUUAUCUGUUGCCAUAAACAAGCUAAGCUUGCUCUCCUGAUUUUCCUUUGGUGUUGAUUAUUUCUAUUGCCAAGAUUUUGAAUAAAAUUACUUUUACCUAAAGCCUGCUUUUUUGUAACCACAAGAUGAUAUCUUGUUCAUUUGCUAGAAGCUUACUAAGUGGUUAUAUUUUUAAGAUCCUAUAGGACAAUUUGAUGGCAUUUAAAUAAUUUAGGAUUGCAUUUCAUUCAAGAAAAAGAAGUGAAAUACGAAUACUUGCUCCUUUUAAAUUCUCAUUUUUGUCGCUAAAAUUUCCACAAAGAAAUAUCGGCAAAGGAUUGGAAGUAGGAAUAAACAAACACAAUGAAUAAAUCAUAGCUACCUCUCACUUUCACAGUUAUUCUAGGCAUAAGCAGGUUUAACUAGAAUAAGUAGUACCUUUUCAUUUAUAAUUAGAUCCACUUGGCAAGCACAAGGCUCACCCUGGAUUUAUAUCUACUUUAUUCACAAAGCGGAUUCUCCAUGUAAUAACAGUCUCUCCUUGCGACAUAAAGGAGGAAGGCAUGGACUGAUUGGUGAAAAAUGCUUCAUAAAAAAGUUCUUGGCUUAUCAACUUACUGCUCAACCACCUACUGUGUCUCGCAACUUCAUGUUCAACCACUUGCUGUGUAUCACACCAACUCUUUAAAUGGCACUAAUCCUUUGUCCGGUCUCACAACGAAAAUAUUUUCUGUGCAUCAAACAAGCACCCCCUGGCUUAUGAGCAUACACACUUAAUAACUCAACUAAUCAAGAAACUCAGUCAUCAACAUAAUACCUACCUUACCCUACAUCAGAGCCUACUGAUUAAGAAAAAUUCCAAAAUUAAGAAAGAUACCAUACUAAACCAUGAGGUUUCAUAAAAUUAGAAUUUCUGCCUGAAAAGUAGUUCCAGACUUCGUCCCAGGAUCCUCGAUCUAGUCCGACUGUUUAUUUGUAGAUCUUUCUCGAGCCAAACUAAUCAGCCUGCGUAAGAUCCGGUUCCGUUAUCAAAUAGAUAUUAAAGCUUUCCAGCACUUCAGAGAUCUAGUUACCAAAUAGCAAAUAGUUUUUUAUUAAAAGCUAUGCUGCUCAAAGCUCCAAAGACAAAAAAGUUCUACCACCUAUAGCAAUAUCAAACUAGGUCUAAAUCUACCAACCAUAUUAGUUCCAAAUUCCUUUUGAUGUCCAUUUAUCAAAGAGGUGAUGAGGAAAUAUUAUGGUUGCAGCCAUAAUUUGUUAGCUUCAGAUUCCGAUACUGGAGUCCAUGUGUGUGAUGAAACCUUGCAUAACUGUCAUGUAUCCAUGUAAGCAGGCAUCAGAUCUACACUUAAACAAAACCUUGCAUAACUGUCAUGUAUCCAUGUAAGCAGGCAUCAGAUCUACACUUGAACAAAACCUUGCAUAACUAUCAUGUCUCCAUGUAAGCAGACAUCAGAUCUACACUUAAACAAAACCUUGCAAAACUGUCAUGUAUCCAUGUAAGCAGGCAUCAGAUCUACACUUGAACAAUAAUGAAAUGAUACCCAUUGAGUGUUCGAAAU
This 2368-nucleotide long non-coding RNA is filed under the name Phoenix dactylifera (date palm). RNAcentral describes it as "long non-coding RNA (PDAC_LNC008298)". Lineage: Eukaryota; Viridiplantae; Streptophyta; Magnoliopsida; Arecales; Arecaceae. The record is from RNAcentral.